RNAcentral lists this ribosomal RNA (774 nucleotides) under uncultured Neocallimastigales. RNAcentral describes it as "partial large subunit ribosomal RNA". It matches the Rfam family "Eukaryotic large subunit ribosomal RNA", at positions 23 to 628 of the family's 3401-position model. Lineage: Eukaryota; Fungi; Neocallimastigomycota; Neocallimastigomycetes; Neocallimastigales. The record is from RNAcentral.
GAGAUGUGUGAUGACGCAUAUCAAUAAGCGGAGGAAAAGAAACUAACAAGGAUUCCCUUAGUAACGGCGAGUGAAGCGGGAAGAGCUCAAAUUUGAAAUCUUCAAGGUUCUACCUUGACGAAUUGUAGUUUAUAGAAGUGUUUUCUGUUGGAGUUUUGGUAAAAGUUCUUUGGAAUAGGACAUCAUAGAGGGUGAGAGUCCCGUAUUUGACCAUUUCUUCCAGCUGUGUGAUACACUUUCAAAGAGUCGGAUUGUUUGGGAAUGCAGUCCAAAAUGGGUGGUAAAUUUCAUCUAAAGCUAAAUAUUGGCGAGAGACCGAUAGCGAACAAGUACCGUGAGGGAAAGAUGAAAAGAACUUUGAAAAGAGAGUUAAACAGUACGUGAAAUUGUCAAAAGGGAAGCGUUUGACACCAGUGUUGUUUAGUUGAAAAUCAAUUAAAUAUUUUUCGAUUUUAAGUAGUAUUGACCUUAUCAGCUUGCUGCUUUUUUCUCGGAAAUUAUUGAAUGCACUUUUCAGUUAACAAGUCAACAUCAAUUUCUUUUGUUGUAAAAGGGUAAGAGGAAGGUGGCUUGCGCUUCGGCUCAAGUGUUUAUAGCCUUUUACCUCUGCAAUCGGAGAGAUUGAGGUCUGCAGCGUAGACUCUUCGGGGUUAGAUACAUUUAUGCUAAGCUAUAGCCUUGUAUAGACAACUUGUUGACUAUGCUCUAGUCAUGUAGCUUACUCGUAGAUGCUAUUUUACCUACGCUUAGGAUGUUGAGUCGUAGAGCACGCAG